Molecule: long non-coding RNA, 4166 nt
Organism: Columba livia (rock pigeon)
Lineage: Eukaryota; Metazoa; Chordata; Aves; Columbiformes; Columbidae
Exons: 2
Source: RefSeq, a predicted model, not a curated record
ACAGGUGCCUGGAUUUCUACUACAUUUCCAUUUGUGGUCAAGCAGAGCUCAAACUUCUUCAAGCAAAUGUGAGAAACUAGUAACUGUUCCAAAAAAAAUGUGAUUUCCAUGGCACUGUAAUAAUGUAUUUAAAUUGCUGAGGGACAUAGCUAUGAAGACUUGCAUGUACCACACCUUUCUACACACUCUGUGCAAGAGUGCAUUUAAAAAUUUGCGAAGUCUAAGCAGUUGCUGUUACCAUGACAAAUGACUUUUUAAUCAGUCAUAAUCUUGCACUAAGUGCUGUAUAAGUGCCCUUUGUUUCACUACUUAAACUGCCAAUGGCUAACAAUGGAAGUCACAGACUAGUGCCUGUCAUUAAAAGCAAUAGAAAAAAUCAAUACAAUUUUUAAUUAAAGGUGCCCAACGACUUGAGUAUUAAGAAAGGAAUUCUCCUUGUCAGUAUAUCUUGCCUUCAAGCCCUUACUGGCAGUUCAGAAGUUAACACACAGGCAAAUGGAAGUAUUUACAAUGUGCUCCUGGAAAUAAGAAAGAAGAGGGCAUGAGGAGAAUUCAGGGAAAAUAUGUUCUAUUUGAUUGGUAUUGUUAGGGAAAGGAUAAAGUACAUAAGUACUGAUGUCUGUGGAAACCCUAGAGCAUGCUUUUCAUUAGACUUUUAAAAAUAUGGAAGAAUAUAUAAAAAGAUACUCCUGUCAGUAAAAUUUGCAAUAUAGAUUUUUCUCUACACACUUGUGAAGAAGCAGCUUGAAAAAAACUUCCUAUUGCUGUCAUUAUUAUUGGUGUAUUCAUGUUAUUAACUGCCUCAAGCUUCCUGUCUGUUUAGUCUCUUCUUACUCUUGAGUGCUCAGGUUUUUUUCUUGUCAUGUUUUUCUGAUACCUUCUCUUCCUCUGUUAUCUGCCAAUGUGUUUGUAGAAGAAGCAGAUGUGUUUCACCCAUGGUGAUAAAAUCUUCACUGGUGUACCUUUAAUAACAAUACUGCUACAACAGUAGGUGUACUCUAAUUUCUCAACAGAAGAGAAAUUUGACAGGAAUAGAUAUAAGGUCUGGGCCAAAUAGAUGAUCUUUCUGGGCACUUGCUGGAUGGGCAUACCUUCUAAGUGAACAUACUUGUUUUGAAAUUAGGGUAGAUUUUCUGAAUUAGAUUAAAUUGUAUUGAAAGGUAUAGAAUAUAAUCAAAAGGACACUUAAAUACCAUAGUAUAUGUUAACUUAUGCUACUAAAUUAUCAAGUAAUUUUGCAGCUUAUAUGAACCUGACAUGACCUAUGAAAUCUUAUAUUGCUUUUGUGUUUUGGAGAAAUUUACAAUCUCAGUAUAUAUAAAUGCUUAAGAACAUGAUCUGUCCAUUCAUGUGAUCAGCACUUUUAGGUUUUUAUAGAUUUAGAUUUUCAUCCUUUAGGCUGCAAACUGAAAAACGUUAGACUAUGAACCACAACUUAGAGUAAGAAAAAAAAAAAAUGUAUUUCUAGGACAAAUGCUCCUGAUUUUGACAUAUGAUUAAAUAUUCGAGCAAUAAUGACAGACUUCAGAACUGCUAUAACACUUUCAAGAACAGUAUGACAGUAUCAGGAACCUGAUCCUGUGAGAAUUAUGUGAUUAAUAGUGCUUUGACUUCCUUACAAGUAGUUUUCAUAAGCAAUAUCUAGCUUCUAAUGUAAGUUAUAUAUUCCACAUAAUAUUACCAAUUUAAUCACCUAAAUCUCAACUUUAUUUUUUCCUUUUUAUUUUCCUUUCUGUGAUACAUUAAGAGUAACCUGUUUGUUAUAGCAGUAGCAGGUAACAUGCAGCAUUUCUUUUUCUUACUUAAGUUACAGGGCUUCCACGAGGAGUAAUGAAGAAGAAAAAGGCAAUGGAAUUAAAACCAGCACCAACUGUACAGAAGAAAUAUGUGUAAUGCUAGCAAAUGAAAAAAUACCACAGUAGGAAUACGUUGGGAUUUGACAAUGCAUUCAGCACCCUUGGACACAACCAGCAUGGCUUGCCUGUCCUGGCUGAGCUCCAGCAACAUCUUACUCUCUUUCAGUCUGAGACAGUCUUUCUCAUUUGCUACCCGAUAAAGAUUCAGAUGUUUGGAAUUUACUUAUUUGAAGGGGAGUUGGAGGUGUGGAGUAGAAGUUGGUGAAGAUUAUUUCCCCUAUUCUCUGCUGACAGCAACAAUCUGCAAUGACUGGUCACUCAGUGCAACUCAGAAGCAUCUUAAUGUGCUUCACUGAAGACAUGGCAGUUCUUGUGUCUAGAGGUCCUAUCCAGCCCACCUUCUCUGUCUGCCAGGCAAGGUGUUAUACGGGAUGAGGUGGGAUUCAGGGCUUUGCUCUCAGGACUGAAGGAACUAUGUCAGACCUUCACUGUCCAGACUAAAAUAACUUGGGAUAGCCAGUUAAGCUGCCUCUGUGAUCACUGUGCCUGCUCAGAAUCAGUACAGGAAGACUUCUGCAGGAGGGUCUUGAACUGGUCUAGGUUGUUAAUGUUUUACAUGGCAAGUGACAUACACUCCCUUGUGUUCUUUUCUCAGGUUGUCAUUGCUGAAGCAGAGUACUCAGCUGAGCUGUUGCUCCCAUGCCCAAAACUGAAAGGUGACCAGAAAAGAAGUGCCUGUGGAAGAUCUAAUGGUGAGUCAAUUGCAGAAAAUAAAUUACAAGGGUCACAGACUUGGCUUGGCAGAAGAAACAAACAUAUUUGAUCUGUUGACUUAUUGGAGGUGCAUUACUCCAUCCAUUUUUACUGCAGUUUUCUCAAAGCAGACAACAGGGCUCACUGAGGAGAUCACCUCUUUCAGAGACUUAUCUGUUGAACACCAUUGGGACAUAUGAAUUAGAAGAGCCUUUGUAUCUGAUUUCCUGCCUCUGUAAUUCCCAGGAAAGCUACCUAGAGUUGCUUGAUUUUAUCCUCUCCAAAUGCAUUUAUUUCUAUGUAGAUUUUGAAUUUUGUAAAGUGGCUGGAAAUAAAAAUGAAUGUAGAAUUAACUGAAAAUAGCUUUAAGCAUUAAUUAAGUCCUCCUGUCUAAGAGGAUCUAAGGGAUGCGAGUCAUAGAGAUUAUGAAUUAUUUGUAAGAAAUAACACUUCACAGUUAUGUGGUGUACACUGAAACAGGGAAUGCUUCAACUUCGGUCCUUAUAUCAGGUUGCUAACUUUUCUUGCUUAUGAAUUGGGGUAUAAGUAUACAGUAUCUACUUGGAUAUUCCCUGUCUCAAAAGCAUAUAGACCUUAUGUAUAUAAAAGACCAAGCACAGCAGUGCGCUCCACUUCAUCAGGGAGCCUGAACCUCUUUUGAUAGUUACUCAGGAGUUCGUUUACCUGUCUAAACCUGGAGAAACUGUCAUAAUAAAGCAAUAUAAUAGGUUUGAUGUAGCCUUCAGAAAAACAGAUAGUAAGGAUUAAAUUACUGUUGGUGUGUCUGAGCACUGCAGUUCAAAACCUUCUGAAAAUGUGUGUUGCAAUAUAUCUCUGACCACUCAAGGAUGGUUUCAUGAUUUCAUUUUGGCACAUGACAUAGCCUCCUAGUCCUGACUGUGUAGCUUGGAGGAAGCAGCUACAAGCAAAGCACUUGGGUUUAAAACUGCAAUUUUUUGUCAUUUAGUCUGACUACCUUCAUUCUAUGAAGAAGAGUUGUACAGAUACUCCCACAAGCAGUUAAGCCACCCACUGUCUUCUGAGUAUUAGCAGCAGACUCAUAGAAAGGGCCAAAUGAAGGCAAGUCAGCUUUCUCUGUUUUGUAGUGUACAGAUGCAAAAUUCAUUCUCACAGAAGACUAACCCUAAAUUUUGCAAGUAGUAGGAUAAUCUUAUUAUAAUAUCUUAACUCCUUCCAUCCCUGCAGCCAAAACUUUGCUGAGUGAACUGUUACAAUAUCAGAAAGCUUUAUUUUGCGUAUCCUGAAUUAGGAUGCAGAGUAAAGAAAAAUUAGAUGUGAGGGGGACUGCUUAUUUUGUUCAACUGGAAAACAAAGUUAUUCAAUCCAAACUAGCAGCUUCCUGACAAAAAGACCCAUAUUAUAUGCAUGCAGAUACAUCAGUCACUGAAAUACCUGUUGAAUCUCAACUGCAGUUUGGGAUAUGAAUGGCUUUUUCUGCAUAAAUAUACAGUUGGGGUUUUUAAAAUUGUUGUUAUUUUUACAGUGUACAAUAAAUCACAGCUGUAAAUGCACUUUUAAUAAAAAACUGUCGUAAAA